UGAACAGGCACAUCACUCUGGUUCAGUCAACCCAAAAUUUCUGGAACUCUGCAAAAGCGACCAACCCCCCCAUCUUCUGGAGUACUUUUGUUCCCUGUAAUGACUGCUGCUCAGCUGGUUUUUGAGAAUGGAUUGGUACAGAGGUGCCGGAAGCGAGCCCCCGCCCACCCCCACCCCAGAUUAGUGGAAGGGGGGAUAUGGGAUUUCACAUACCUCCUUUCCAUACACCAGAACAGGUCAGCAUCAAAAACUAAGAACAUAUGGUAAGUUCAGAAUAGGUUACAGAUUACUGCUGAACACUGAAAAAUACAGUGGAAUCUCCAAUGAAUUAAAGAGGCUUUGCUGUCAAAGAGUAACUCAUACUAACCACAGUUUAAUGUGUGACAGAAUCAUCUGGCGUUCCAAAGUCGAAAAGGUGCUUCUCUCAUCAAAGGUUUGUCUGAGGUUAGUGUGACUCUUAUUCUCACUGCAGACUGCCAGGCUUUGCAGCAGAAGACAGCAUUUGAGGCCGUAAGAAAAGGACAGAGACGUGAAACAUCUUGGCUUUUGACUCCUGGAGUUGUGCACAAGAACUUGGGAACAUACACAGCUUUCUGAUCUAUCAUAGAAAUUCAAAAGUCCUUUUAAGAGAAGUUUCGCAGCUCUAGUACACAGAUAUGCUAGGGAAAGGUUAUGGUGUGGGGGAGGGGAUGUCACACAACCUGGCACUCAGAGUUCCUCCAUACAGCUUCAAGUACUGAGGUUUACUGGAGGGAGUAAAAUUCUGUGGACCUGGUGUAACGACUCAUAAUUGAUAAAGUGGUAAAGGCAGUGGAGCACGUGACCUUCAGACUCAUAAUGGAACAAGAAACAACCAUGAUUGGGCAGAAAACCAACUUGCUGUUACCUUGAAAUUAGCCCUACAUGUGUGUAGCAAUUCAAGUGAAGUGUUGUCUUCUGAAGAAGCCCACGAUAUGCACAAACCUGACCAAAAAAAGACCCUAACAUCGGUUUUGCCAACCUAAGCACAAGAAUCAAACAAGACACAACCGUUUAUGCGGCUCAUUAGUGUCACAAGACAACUUGUGAUUGACGAUGCAACUUUUACUUGCUAUACACUAUUCUAUAUACUACAUACAAGGAGGGUGGUGACUGUAGUAUCAAUUUGGAAUUCUUUACAACACUGUAGCAUUCAAACAAAUGUAACCAAAUAACUUAUACUGACAGAGAUAUGAUUAUACAUAAAGCCCAAAGUCAACAUCAUUUUUCAAUAAUCGUAAGUGUUACGACUUAUGUUUAGCCAACUUUGUGAGAUAGGAAUGUGCUUGGGUUAGCCCUUCUGUUAAACUCGUACAUAAAAUUAGAAUCAAGAUUUACUCCUUUCCCGGGUCUAGAAAUCCCAUUAGUCAUGAAUCCAUUGCUGUUGACAUUUUUGUACACACUGUGGUGUUAAAACACUGUGAAAUGGAAGGAAUGUUUAAAGGAAGCAUUAGAAAUAACUCAUAUGAAUGUGUUCAUCCUUGUGAUUACCCAGCAGAAGGAAUAGUUUUACGGCACAGUUAUAGCACAGAAGCAGUUUUAUAUCAUGACUGACAAUUACCCGAAUGGCACAUAAACAGCCCCCUUUCUAUAUAUCAGCGCAUAUACAGCAUGUCGACGUAACCCUGCAUCCUACCUAACCUUCCCCACCACGCUUUCGAUAUUUGGCAAGAGUUUUGCAAAAGCCGCAGACGGCGCACAAAAAGUUUAGUAACUCACAAAUGCAUAAAAUAUAUUUAGAGUGCUGGUCAGGAGAACACCAGACGUGUUUACAGCAGCCUCUGGCAUGAUAUCUUGCAGUGAUUUUUGUAUUUUGCACUAAAUUACACUUACAUCAGAAAUGCUUUGUUUCGUUCACCAAAAAAAUGUACACGGUUUUUCCAUAUCGCUGGGGGCCAUGCCCCUGACCCCCAUGAUGCGGAAGGGACGACUGUACUUUUUGAGGGUGACACGGGUGGAUUCAACUCCUGCAACCAACUCUGUGUACACAGGUUUUGCACAUUCUUCCUCCUUACCUGUGUACUCGUGUGUUUUUACCGGGAUACCUCGCCAGGGUUCCCAUAUCUCACUGCACUGCUGUGACACGCACACUUCCAGACUCUCACGCUCACGCAGGAAGUUUUACAGCCAAUUUAUAUUAUUCCAAUUUAAGCCUAAAAUUAGCUACAUUAAAAACACUGGGGUAGUUUGCAAAUCCUACAGACAAAUUUGUAAGGUAAUAAAACUGUUACAUACAUGUAAAUGCAUGUGCGUGUGUGUGCAGGCAUGAAAAUUUAAAAUCUCACUCUAAAACUAACCAAAAUUGGCAACCUUGUCUCUCAUAGGCAAGUUUCUAAAUUGCCCACGAUAAGUACCUUGCUAUAGUCAAGGAGCUCUCCAGUCUGGCACUUACCGGCAUGCCUCAUGCUGGAUUUUUUAAAACUUUUUCUGGAACUCUGCAUUCGUUAGUCUUAUAAUUAACCUGUUCAUAUACCAAAAUCCUGUAAUAGUUCAAAUUCCAAUUUAUAUCAACCAUAUCCAUAUGCACCUUUUCAUUGGCGGGAAUUAUCAGGAUUUAAUAAAUAAACAAACAAACAAACAAACAAAGAUCAGUACCUCCUUCAGCUCUUUCUCGAUCUGCACCGCCCGUUGCACAAUGGGACCCCUCACGGCGUAUUCAACCCUCUUAAUUCGUGGGUUCAUCGUGUCUACGGUGAGCACCUUCCCCCGGCGGGACGCCACGCCGUUCUCGGACAUCUUAUAGCUGAUUGACCGGCGUGUCGCGGACAGCCACCAAGGAGCCCUGCCAAACGAAAGUGACAGCGGAGCUGGGACCGGCAUCGCGGGUGUGCGAAGUGGCCGCUGCCGCGCAGCAGAGUGCAGGAUCCCACACAGCCCCCGCAGAGUAACAGACCACGCUUCUCUAAAAGAAAACAUUAGUGCUGCCAAGUAACUUUAAGUAUUAACUUGGCUCCUGCGUGUUUAGCAUUAAAAUACCGCCAGCUGUGCAUGAGAUGCAAGUGUCCAGCACGGUGCUUCAGUAAGCACACCUUCAUGAACUGUCUUUCGUUGUGUAACUAUCUUUAUCCGAAAAACCUAAACAGACCUUUGUACCUUACCAUGCAGAUUUCACAAGAUGCCCGCCAACAGUUAUUUUCAUUUACUUGAUAGUCAUUAUCUGUUUUUAUUAUGCAAUAUUACUUUCCGCUACAAUGCAUUUUUUACACUCACGCUUUUCCGCUCUGCCUGUACAGCUGAAGCGAACUACAUACCCAGAAAUAGUCAAGAUUGAUCUUCAGACUUAGCAGAAGACAGAUGCGGACAGUAGGAAGAGUACAAAUGCACCUCUGCUCG
Brienomyrus brachyistius is the source of this 3351-nucleotide long non-coding RNA. RefSeq lists it as uncharacterized. The record is from RefSeq and is a predicted model, not a curated record. NCBI's taxonomy places the organism in Eukaryota, Metazoa, Chordata, Actinopteri, Osteoglossiformes, Mormyridae. The transcript is spliced from 2 exons.